AACACUGGAACGAGACUGCUUAAAUUGAAGCACAGUGUGCGAAUGACCUGCUACGCUCGGAACUGUUAUCACCAUUCGGGAAGAAAUUGGAUGAAAAAACAUAACUCUAAAUACCUGUAUGAUAUACGUCUGGUGCAUUGCAGGUAAGAAUGGAUUGUGUGUGGCGCGCUUCACCGCAUGUGGACUAGAGUAGAUCUAGGAACAUCAGACAAGAAGACACGUAUGUGAAACCCUGCGGAUAGCCCAUAUGUAAGUUCUUCCUCAAUUUUUCUUUUGUUGCAUUUUCGUAGUUUACGUGUAAUACUUUGUCACCGCGGUCUCGACGUUAUGUAUACCUAUACAUUUGUCUCGUGGCAGUCUGCGUGCUAUUUUGUUUGUGCAACUAUGUGUUGUAUUCAUUUAUCGCGCUGCCUGGAUGUUUUUUUUUUUUUUUCACUGAUAUUCCGACCAAAGUCGGUAAACCUAUCCUUCCUGUCCUCAUGUUUCCUUGGGCGGCUCUAAAGCGUAUCUUAGAGGAAUAUUUAGCUUCAGAUUCCCGCAUGGAACAGAUGGUGAACUUUUUUUCCAGAUACGGAGGAACGGACACCGGUCGUGCCGUGAGCACUAUUCUGCAGGGCAUACUUACAAAUGAAGCUGCACUGCAGUUCAGCUGGAAAGGGUCGCAGGGGAGGAAGCACGCCUUCGUGAAGCUCAUGGCCAUCACGAAUAUAACAUCUGUGAGGAGCACGUUCCCUGACGCUUCACUAGCAUCAGUGGCUGGAGUCGCAAAACGCUGGUUGGUUGGAGCAGCUGACAGGGAUGGAGGCCGGAAUGAAAGAAGGCGCCGUGACCCUGCUUCAAGCCCACCAAAUAUGAACUAGUGUUUGAAACUUGUGAACGUGUCGGUGUACAUAUACAAUUACAAGAAAUAAAGACCUGUAUCAGAAUCUUUUGCCUGGCAUUUAUGUGGCAUGAAAAGUACAAAAAAGCGUUCGCUUUCGUGUGGUACUUCUAUGCCGGCCACCACACAAGCA
This 1013-nucleotide long non-coding RNA is filed under the name Dermacentor andersoni. Its description in RNAcentral is "uncharacterized LOC126547904". The record is from RNAcentral. Lineage: Eukaryota; Metazoa; Arthropoda; Arachnida; Ixodida; Ixodidae.